UAUUGGGCGUAAGAGCUCGUAGGCGGUUUGUCGCGUCUGCUGUGAAAUCCCGAGGCUCAACCUCGGGCUUGCAGUGGGUACGGGCAGACUAGAGUGCGGUAGGGGAGAUUGGAAUUCCUGGUGUAGCGGUGGAAUGCGCAGAUAUCAGGAGGAACACCGAUGGCGAAGGCAGAUCUCUGGGCCGUAACUGACGCUGAGGAGCGAAAGCAUGGGGAGCGAACAGGAUUAGAUACCCUGGUAGUCCAUGCCGUAAACGUUGGGCGCUAGAUGUAGGGACCUUUCCACGGUUUCUGUGUCGUAGCUAACGCAUUAAGCGCCCCGCCUGGGGAGUACGGCCGCAAGGCUAAAACUCAAAGGAAUUGACGGGGGCCCGCACAAGCGGCGGAGCAUGCGGAUUAAUUCGAUGCAACGCGAAGAACCUUACCAAGGCUUGACAUACACCGGAAACGGCCAGAGAUGGUCGCCCCCUUGUGGUCGGUGUACAGGUGGUGCAUGGUUGUCGUCAGCUCGUGUCGUGAGAUGUUGGGUUAAGUCCCGCAACGAGCGCAACCCUCGUUCUAUGUUGCCAGCGGGUUAUGCCGGGGACUCAUAGGAGACUGCCGGGGUCAACUCGGAGGAAGGUGGGGAUGACGUCAAAUCAUCAUGCCCCUUAUGUCUUGGGCUUCACGCAUGCUACAAUGGCCGGUACAAAGGGCUGCGAUACCGUAAGGUGGAGCGAAUCCCAAAAAGCCGGUCUCAGUUCGGAUUGAGGUCUGCAACUCGACCUCAUGAAGUCGGAGUCGCUAGUAAUCGCAGAUCAACAACGCUGCGGGUGAAUACGUUCCCGGGCCUUGUACACCCCGCCCCGUCAAGUCAUGAAAGUCGGAACACCCGAA
RNAcentral lists this ribosomal RNA (875 nucleotides) under Curtobacterium sp. RNAcentral describes it as "bacterial SSU rRNA". It matches the Rfam family "Bacterial small subunit ribosomal RNA", at positions 552 to 1425 of the family's 1533-position model. The record is from RNAcentral. Lineage: Bacteria; Bacillati; Actinomycetota; Actinomycetes; Micrococcales; Microbacteriaceae.